GCCGCCGCCCCUCGCCCGCCCGCCCCGGGAGAGGAGCGGGGCCGCCCGCCCGCCCGCACCUGCUGCUGCUGCGGCGGCGGCGGCUCCGGGGCGGGGAGCGAGAGCGGCCGCCGCGCCCCGCCGGCCUCACGUAGGGCCCAUCCGGGUCCCGCGCGGGCGCGGCGGGCCCGGGCAGCGGGGCCGUCCCCGGGAGCGGGGCGCACGGCCGCCCCCCGCCCGCGGCGCGCCCCUCCGUUCCGCUCGUCCAUGAGGGGAAGCGGCCCGUAACGCGACAGUUACCGGGCGCCCCGGGAGGGGAGGGAGGCCCGCGGCGGGAAGCCAGGGGCAGCAGCUCCCCGCGGCGGCACUAGGGGACGCUCCGCGCUCGCUCUGGCAGGCGGGAAGGGCGCGGCGGCGCGUCCUGCGGCCCUGAACCACCGUGCGGUCGGUGCCGCUUUUACAAGCCCUGCGAGUGGUCUCCAGGGGGAGGUGCAGCAACAGAACAAAGAGGAAAACCAAAACGGCUUCAAACAAAGCAGGAUUUGUGGACACAGAAGCCUUCUGGGAAGAACUCUUCUCUUGAAAGCAGUGGAGAAGGCUGAGGCCACGGUGGGCAUGCCAAGAGCCACCGGGAUGAGCAGAAAGUAAGACACAAAAACCAUCCCCAAACCACCUUACUUGAGUUACCGUGUUCCACAGUGACCAAGGGACGCUCAGACCUUCAGGACACACAUCUCCCAGCACGGUUCUCAGACACGGUCUCACCGCAACUGCUUCUGAGGAACACAUUCAAUAGGCUAAAGCUACCUACUUUUUCCUGCAGUAGACAAAUCUCAUGUUACUCUUUCAUACAGGAUACUCUAAUUCACCUUUUCUCAACACCCAGCUAUUAAAAGGUAGCUGAAUGCAUUCAGUCACAAACCUUAGAGAUCCAAACCUGGGAUCCUAGAUCAUAUCUUCCACCCAAGUAGUAACAUAUCAGUAUCCUGAAUUAUUUAAAUCUUAACUCUGAGGCAAACAUUGAUAAAAAAGAAUCACAUUUAAAGCAUUUAUUUUGAAAAAUAAAAUACAAAAGAUCAUUGAAUUGUAAUUGUACAUUAUCAACUUUUUUUAAAUAAAAGAUAUUUAACAAUUUUCACAAAUGAAUAAAACAACUGUUCCACCAAAAGUCUUUCAGGACAAGGACAGAAAACUCUUUUGAAAGUUUCAUACAUAUACAACCAAACUGCUACAUGGGAAAAAAAAAAAUCUGUGAAGAUGGGAGUUUUGGAAUUAAGACAGAAUAGCAAUUUGAGAGACAGGCAUUGCUUUGCAUUCGUUAAAACCUUAAAAUAGUUGUGCAAAUGUGAUAUGGUUCUACAUUAAUAUCGGGGGGGGGGUUUCCUUUUUUUUUUCUUCCAGGUUUACAUGCACUCACAAUGACAAAAUUUUGAACAAAAACAGUAUGAAAGAAAUGGGGGAGAAAACUCUGAAAAAAGCAGGCCAUGAGCAGUGCACCUCACUGGUCUUGGUGGCACAGUACUUGUAAGAUCAUUUCCAUUGAAAAGGCAGCAGUCUUUUUUCUAAAGGAAAAAGAAAAAUAAAAGUUAUGUUUGAGCUUUCAAGAUCAUCUGCUCUGAUUUGUCAUGGCUAGAUUAGCAGAUCUUAAAUCUGCAAGGCUAUGGGAGGGAGAAUUAAUUUCACCACACAUUGGAGAGGAAAAGACGAUGACCCACGCACACCCAGAGGAGCCCUUCAUGCUACAGAAACGGAGCACUCCAGCAGAAGCCCCAUGCAACAAGUCCAUCUGGUCUGCUCUGUCGCCGUGAGGAGACACGAAGAGCUGCCCAGCAGCAAGGGAUGCCACCUCCCAAACUGAACUCCUAUGUCCGUACCCAGGCUAGUGGUUACAGCCCAGAACCUUCCCAUCACGCCUAUAUGAGGAAAGGGCGUGAGGCUGGAAGCGUGCCUCCCACACAGUCACGAAGCUGGGGAGAACGUAGCAAGGGAUCCUGCAGUCUAAGAGAGCUACAUGGUAAGGGUUUUGCUUUUAACUAUUGCAAUGGUUAGGUCUCUUAGGUAGCUCUUGACAAUUAACAGCACUGAAGGGUACCAGAUAAUGAAUUCUCAGUAAAAUCUGAAGUUCAAUAGCUCACUUGAUUAUUACAUCAACACACCAUCGCUACCCAUGGCUGAAAUGGUUUUAUCUGAUACAGUAGUAGUUCUUUUUAAAAAUCUCUCAUUACUUACCUCUGCCCUCUAUACUAUUACUUGCUUUAACCCUUUCCAUGCAAGGCAACAAAAUAUAGAGCUUCACUACAAACAACCUUUGCAGUUUGGUCUACACAAGGGAGUCGCUUUCCUUGAGUUUCUCAGCAACACUCAGACAGCGCAGCUUUACAAGCACCA
Molecule: non-coding RNA, 2367 nt
Organism: Phalacrocorax carbo (great cormorant)
Lineage: Eukaryota; Metazoa; Chordata; Aves; Suliformes; Phalacrocoracidae
Source: RefSeq, a predicted model, not a curated record